This is a long non-coding RNA of Gossypium raimondii (Peruvian cotton), 1011 nucleotides long. RefSeq lists it as uncharacterized. The record is from RefSeq and is a predicted model, not a curated record. The transcript is spliced from 3 exons. NCBI's taxonomy places the organism in Eukaryota, Viridiplantae, Streptophyta, Magnoliopsida, Malvales, Malvaceae.
UCCAACAGCAUUAGCCAAAUAGUAUGCCUCUUCCUCGAGCCAAAAGCAGUUUUCAGAAACCCCUAAACUAAAACUUUGCUAACUAACAAUUGUGCUGUCUUAUUCCCCUCACGAAUUUGCAGGAUCUAAACGCCCCAAAGUUGGCCCAUCGUCGAUAAUUGUUUCUAGAGAGCUACUCUCGAUUCAGGGCUAGGAGGCUUUACAGGUGUUAGCGAUUUGCAUUCCGUCAGGUUUCAAUUAGGUCUCGUGGAUUCAAGAAGGUUGGCAGCAUCCAGGUUUCAAAUCUCAGCUCAGUAAUGUUUGAAUCGUAAGUUGAAUGCUAAAAUAGAGUUGGCAUGUAUCUAGUGUUGUAAUUUAGUUUUUGGAGUCUAUUAUGAUGCCUUGGUAUCUUCUAUGCUUAAAAAAAUACAAGUUAAACAUGUUCAAUAAUCUAAGUGUUCGAUGAUAUGAUUAUGUGAUUAAGUUGAGAUGCAUGAUCUUAAAUUAAUGCUAUGCUAUCAGUCAUUGGUUGCUUCCAUGUCAAGUAGAUAAAAUUGAAGUAUGAAAUUGGUAAAGUGAUGUUCAUGUUUGAAGGCUUAUGUUUGAAUGUGUUUAAAGAUGCUUAAAUGGUGUUUAAAACUUGUAUUUAGUGUUUCAUAAUGUUUAGAAAUGAUUUGGUAUUGUUUUAGAUCAAAUUAGGUGUGUUUUAGGGUCAUUUUUUGGAUCCUGACAAACUUCUACCGAUGCAAGUGGUAAGAUGUAUCGGUACAAGUAAAUCAGUAGCAGGGACUACUACAGAUACACGUCUGGCAGAUAGGGAUCCCUCCCCUAUUUUUACUUGUUUUGACUCCUGGAGACUCGAACUUGGUCUCGAUCAUCCCCAAGCACCUAGAACUUAUUUAAAAAUGAUUCUAAAGUGUUUAAAAUGACUUGAAUUUGUUUUUAAUCAAAAUGAAUGUUUUGUAUAAUGUGAUAAAAGCUUGAUAUUUGUAUUUGAUUUGAAAUAGAAGAUGGUUCAAGUUGCUUCAACAA